This 392-nucleotide ribosomal RNA is filed under the name uncultured bacterium. RNAcentral's name for it is "partial 16S ribosomal RNA". It matches the Rfam family "Bacterial small subunit ribosomal RNA", at positions 523 to 918 of the family's 1533-position model. The record is from RNAcentral.
AUACGGAGGAUCCGAGCGUUAUCCGGAUUUAUUGGGUUUAAAGGGUGCGCAGGCGGCCAUUUAAGUCAGCGGUUAAAUCGUGGGGCUCAACCCCAUUCUGCCGUUGAUACUGGGUGGCUUGAUUGCGGUCGAGGUUGGCGGAAUUCGUUGUGUAGCGGGGAAAUGCAUAGAUAUGACGAAGAACACCGAUUGCGUAGGCAGCUGACCAGACCGCAAAUGACGCUCAUGCACGAAAGUGCGGGGAUCGAACAGGAUUAGAUACCCUGGUAGUCCGCACAGUAAACGAUGAAUACUUGUUUUCGGCGAUAUAAUGUCGGAGGUAAAGCGAAAGCGAUAAGUAUUCCACCUGGGGAGUACGCCGGCAACGGUGAAACUUAAAGGAAUUGACGGGG